CGGUAUUCAAGUGCUAAUAAUA
Molecule: microRNA, 22 nt
Filed under: Heligmosomoides polygyrus
Lineage: Eukaryota; Metazoa; Nematoda; Chromadorea; Rhabditida; Heligmosomidae
Description: hpo-miR-234-5p
Gene: hpo-miR-234-5p
Source: miRBase by way of RNAcentral